RNAcentral lists this ribosomal RNA (482 nucleotides) under uncultured bacterium. Its description in RNAcentral is "partial 16S ribosomal RNA". It matches the Rfam family "Bacterial small subunit ribosomal RNA", at positions 34 to 507 of the family's 1533-position model. The record is from RNAcentral.
AUUGCCCGCUUUCUUCAUGCUUUACACAUGCAAGUCGAACGGUAACAGGCCGCAAGGUGCUGACGAGUGGCGAACGGGUGAGUAAUGCAUCGGAACGUGCCCGGUCGUGGGGGAUAACUACUCGAAAGAGUAGCUAAUACCGCAUACGAUCUAUGGAUGAAAGCGGGGGACCGUAAGGCCUCGCGCGAUUGGAGCGGCCGAUGUCGGAUUAGGUAGUUGGUGGGGUAAAGGCUCACCAAGCCAACGAUCUGUAGCUGGUCUGAGAGGACGACCAGCCACACUGGGACUGAGACACGGCCCAGACUCCUACGGGAGGCAGCAGUGGGGAAUUUUGGACAAUGGGCGCAAGCCUGAUCCAGCAAUGCCGCGUGCAGGAAGAAGGCCUUCGGGUUGUAAACUGCUUUUGUACGGAACGAAACGGCUCUGGUUAAUACCCGGGGCUAAUGACGGUACCGUAAGAAUAAGCACCGGCUAACUACGUG